RNAcentral lists this transfer RNA (75 nucleotides) under Schistocerca americana (American grasshopper). RNAcentral's name for it is "tRNA-Ser". It matches the Rfam family "tRNA". From Rfam's summary of the family: Transfer RNA (tRNA) molecules are approximately 80 nucleotides in length. Their secondary structure includes four short double-helical elements and three loops (D, anti-codon, and T loops). RNAcentral also lists the same sequence under 3 other names. The record is from RNAcentral. Lineage: Eukaryota; Metazoa; Arthropoda; Insecta; Orthoptera; Acrididae.
UGCUUGGGUAGCUCAGUUGGUAGAGCACUUGCCCGUGAAAGGCAAAGGUCCCGAGUUCGAGUCUCGGUCCGGCAU